UGUGGGGGCUAUGGGGCCAUAUGGGGUUAUGGGGCCAUAUGGGGUUAUGGGGCCAUAUGGGGCCAUGUGUAGCUAUGGUGCCAUAUGGGGCCGUGUGGGGCUAUGGGGCUAUGGGGUUAUGGGGCCAUAUGGGGCCAUGUGUAGCUAUGGUGCCAUAUGGGGCCGUGUGGGGCUAUGGUGCCAUAUGGGGCCAUGUGUGGCUAUGGGGCCAUGUGGGGCUAUGGGGCCUUGUAGGGCCUUGUAGGGCCAUAUGGGCCCAUAUGGGUCUGUGGAGGCUAUGGGAAUCUAUGGGGUCAUAUGGGGCCAUACAGGGCCGUGUGUGGCUAUGGGGCUGUGUGUGGCUAUGGGGUUGUGUGGGGCCAUAUGGGGCCAUGUGGGGCUAUGGGGCUAUAUGGGGCUAUGGGGACUUGUAGGGCCAUAUGGCUCUAUAUGGGGCUGUGGGGGCUAUGGGGCUUUGUGGGGCCAUAUGGAGCCAUAUGGGUCCGUGUGUGGCUAUGGGGCCAUAUGUGGCCAUGUGGGGCUAUAGGGCCAUAUGGGACCAUGUGGGGCUAUGGGGCCAUAUGGGGUUAUGGGGCCUUGUAGGGCCUUGUAGGGCCAUAUGGGCCCAUAUGGGUCUGUGGAGGCUAUGGGAAUCUAUGGGGUCAUAUGGGGCCAUACGGGGCCGUGUGUGGCUAUGGGGCUAUAUGGGGCUAUGGGGACUUGUAGGGCCAUGGGGCCAUAUGGCUCCAUAUGGGGCUGUGGGGGCUACGGGGCUGUGUGUGCCUAUGGGGCUGUGUGGGGCCAUAUGGGUCCGUGUGUGGGGCCAUAUGGGUCUAUGGGGCCCUAUGGGGCUGAGUGUGGCUAUGGGGCCCUAUGGGGCCAUAUGGGUCUAUGGGGCCCUAUGGGGCCAUAUGUGUCUAUGGGGCCAUGUUUCCCCCCCAGAGUCGAGCAGUGCAGCGCUGCACGCGGUGACCGCAGAGGGGCAGAGCUCAGAGCCCAGUGGCCCCGCAAAGCUGGAGGCGUCCGGAGAGAGUGACCUCAGCACCUCAGGGCAGCGCGUGGCCACAGGUGUCACCGCCGUCAGCUUUGAGCCCCCGGAUCCGCCCGGUGGUGACUCUUCAUCUUCAUCUUCAUCAUCAUCAUCAUCGUCAGCCAUGGACGGG
This 1142-nucleotide long non-coding RNA is filed under the name Coturnix japonica (Japanese quail). RNAcentral's name for it is "lncRNA (ENSCJPG00005008289.1)". The record is from RNAcentral. Lineage: Eukaryota; Metazoa; Chordata; Aves; Galliformes; Phasianidae.